UUUUACAAUGUAGAGUUUGAUCCUGGCUCAGGAUGAACGCUAGCUACAGGCUUAACACAUGCAAGUCGAGG
RNAcentral lists this ribosomal RNA (71 nucleotides) under Prevotella sp. 885. RNAcentral's name for it is "partial 16S ribosomal RNA". It matches the Rfam family "Bacterial small subunit ribosomal RNA", at positions 1 to 67 of the family's 1533-position model. The record is from RNAcentral. Lineage: Bacteria; Pseudomonadati; Bacteroidota; Bacteroidia; Bacteroidales; Prevotellaceae.